Molecule: long non-coding RNA, 876 nt
Organism: Oxyura jamaicensis (ruddy duck)
Lineage: Eukaryota; Metazoa; Chordata; Aves; Anseriformes; Anatidae
Exons: 2
Source: RefSeq, a predicted model, not a curated record
UUGGGGACCCAGUCCCAAAAUGUCCAAAGGACGAAGGAAGAGUCCAAUGGGGCCGAGGCUGGGAUUGAUCCAGAGUGCAAAUUUCCCCUCGCCCCUCCCUAAAGCAGACCUGCCCCGAGCACCAUGAGGGCCGUGGAGAAGUUAGCCCUGCAGCUGGGGAGACAUCUGUGAUCUGGCGGAGAGAGGUUCUUUCCACAGAGGCUGCUAUUUCUGCAUGACCUAAUCCGGGCUCGCUGAUCCUCUGCACUGUGACUCACGGCAUGCAUGGUCCUUCGGUCGCUGCGGCGGGCUGCAGGGCUUCGCGGUGGCCUUUUGCUCUUCCUAGAGGACAGCUCUCCUUGACUUGCGUGCCAUGAACUCUUCGACACUUUUCCAUUUCUGCCUGGUAAGAUCACCACGAUCCGCAGGAACAGCAGAUUGUCACCCUAAGACCUUCUGAGCAACAAGCCAUACAUUAGCCAGCCAGGGCCCGCACGGGUCCAGGAUGAGGUCUGUAUGCGCAGUGCUCCCAAAGGAGCCACUGGCAGCUCUCAGGAAUUACACAGCUAGGAGCCACUAGUGUGGGGCAGCCUGCCUUGUCAAGCAGGAUCCUGCAGAGCUGGGCAGCUGCCAGUCAGUCUGUCAAGACGUGAACUAUUUUGGGAAUUUUUAUGAUGGAACAAUAUUUUUUCGGUAAACAAACGGAAAGCUGUUAAACAGGGACCUUCACCUCGCAGCUCCCGGUUCAGCUCCCUCACUGCUGCGAUGCCACAGUGACUGCACUGUCCGCGCUGCAGAGCUCCCUUCAUGGCUCCAGCAGGGGCAAAACAAAUAGCUUUUUUUUUUUUUUUUUUUUUUUUCUCCCUUUUUAUGAACUUCUCAACAAAAAAAAAAAAA